This is a non-coding RNA of Potamilus streckersoni, 73 nucleotides long. The record is from the annotation of a GenBank genome assembly. Lineage: Eukaryota; Metazoa; Mollusca; Bivalvia; Unionida; Unionidae.
AAUCCGGUGGCCUAGUGGUUAGGGCGUCUGCCUCAGCUGCUGGAGAUCAUGGGUUUUAAACUCGACCGAGUCA